This is a long non-coding RNA of Bubalus bubalis (water buffalo), 882 nucleotides long. RefSeq lists it as uncharacterized. The record is from RefSeq and is a predicted model, not a curated record. The transcript is spliced from 3 exons. NCBI's taxonomy places the organism in Eukaryota, Metazoa, Chordata, Mammalia, Artiodactyla, Bovidae.
GGGCGGGUGAAGGCAGUGUAAGGAACAGGCUGGUGCUUCCCUGCCAACCCCCUCCAUACCAACCACUGAUCCUCACCAGGAUGGACAGCAAUGCUCGUUUUUUACUUAGAUCUUCAGAGCUCCUGACAAUCUCAUGGACAGAGGAGCCUGGUGGACUGCAGUCCACGGGGUCCCAAAGAGUUGGGCAUGACUGAGUGACUCAGAGUUCCUCUCUCUUUUUUUUGUCUCCCCAGGAAAAGACCUGGCUGCUGUCACGAUGCUGGUGAGGAAGAGCAUGUGCUGGACGUGUCAUCAAGGUGUAUGCCACCAUUGGAUAUAAAUGGGGCUGCAAGGCCCUCAGGCCUCUUUAGCUCUUCCCUGGUCCAGCUCUGAUCCGACCGGACGUAUAGACAGUGGAAGGAGGGGUUAGGCAGGCUCUUGACUUCUCUGACUCCUGUCAUUUUAUCAGGGGGCCAUUGAGGCCCUCCCUUGUGCCAUCCUGAGCUGCUCUCAGUCACAAGCUCUGCCCCAUUCCUGAUGUUGACACUUCGCUACUCUCACCGCCCAUCCUUGGCUGGCUUUACACUGACUUCUCAUCAGGGGCAGAGGUCUCAUCCUGCUUACUGAGUUCCUGGCCUUGCUACAGCUGGGAUGUAGGACUUGAGCCUGUUCACUUGGUUUUCAGAAAUCUGCCUUCUGGAAUGACAAGACACAAAAGAAGACUUCUCUGCACUUUUUGGACCUCUUGCAGUUGAGUGGCUCAGGCCAUAUGCAGUCUACAGCAGAGAACACCUGAGUAAACUCCCAAACAUUGUUCACAUCACUAGAAACUUUGGGAUCUUCCUAGGAUUCAUGUUGGACUUACCUCCAAACUUCCAAGGAUAAUGAACUCUCUUGGUAAGC